AAUAAGAAACGAUAUCAAACACCACUUACAUAAUCAAAUUGGUCAGGAACACGUUCAAGCAACUACCGUUACAAUACAAACUAACAGCAAUUACUUCCAGAUGUCAGCAGUAUAUGCACCACCGCAACACAAAAUGACAUUAUAAAAAUGGGAACAGUAUUUUUAAUCCUUAGGUGACAAAUAUAUCACAGCAGAAGACUUCAAUGCAAAGCACACGUUAUGGGGUUCAAGAAUUAACACACCUCGAGGUAGAACACUAGCAAGAUAUAUUAGAACUAGUAAUCUCUGCAUAUUAUCCACAAGUAGGCCAAUAUACUGGCCAACAGAUCUAAACAAAAUACCUGACUUGCUUUAUUUUGCAGUUAUAAAAGGACUAAACGCGAACACAUUAAAGACAACGCCCAGUCUUCAGCUUAGCUCCGAUCAUACACCGGUAAUAAUAGAAUACACAACCAAACCAAUACUUUAUAGCAAAUCAGAGUCGCUUUGCAAUAAAACCACCAAAUGAUAAACAUUUAAAGAACUAAUCGAGAGCAAAAUCAACUGCAAUAUUCCACUAAACACCCGAACACAUCAAACAGGCAGUAACAAUACUGACAGAAAUUAUACAAAAAGCAGUAUGGGCAACUACUAAUUAUGAACCAAACAACAGGCAAACGAAAAUAAUUCCAACAGACAUCCUUGACAAGAUCAGAUAAAAAAGGAAAGCGAAAGCAAAAUAGCAAAAACAUAGAACACGUGAAAACAAAAAACAUCUAAAUAAACUCGCAAAGGAAAUAAAGAGUAAAAUAAAAGAUCAUAAUAAUAACGAAUUCUCAAAAUACAUAGAAACACUCUUUGCAAAUGAAAAUGCCAACUACUCUCUAUGGAAAGCCACAAACAAAAUAAAGAAGACAAUAAAACUGAUCCUAGCAAUCAGAAAAACAGACAACACAUGUGCCAGAAGCAACAAAGAGCGAGCUGAUGAAUUUUCCAACCACCUUUGUAACACAUUUACUCCAUAUAAUGUUAACAACAUUAACUCCAAAUGUCAUUCAGACAUAGAUGCAUAAAAUACUAGUACCUCAACUGACAAGCACUACUCCAUACCUAAUACAGCAGCACAAGAAAUUAGAAUCAUAAUCAAGAAAACAAAAAACAAUAAAGCACCAGAAAUUAACCUAAUCGAUGAUAAAAUCUUAAAAAACCUUCCCCCAAAAGCAAUACGAUUAAUGACAAUAAUAUCCAAUGCAAUUUUAAGAAUUCAAUACUUCCCUAAUUUAUGAAAACUAGCACAGAUCAUAAUGUUACCUAAGCCAAGCAAAGACCAGGCCACAUCAAAUUACAUCUUACAGGCCAAUAUCAUUACUUCCUGUGUUUUCAAAAAUACUAGAAAAAAUAAUUUACGCCCGCUUAAAACCAAUAAUAGAGAAGGAAAAAUUAUUACCAGAUCACCAAUUUGGAUUCAGAAACAAACACUCCACGAUAGAGCAAAUGCAUAGACUCACAAAUGAAAUAAUACUAGCAUUAGAAAACAAACAAUACUGCACAGCCCUCUUUAUGGACAUCGAGAAAGCAUUUGACAAAAUAAACCACAAAAGCCUACUUCAAUCAAUCAGAAAACAAUACCCGGAGCAGAUACACCAUUUAAUAAAAUCUUACUUAAGCAGCAGAACCUUCGUAGUAAAAAUUAAGGACACAUACUCUGAAGUUAAAGACAUCAAGGCAGGGGUUCCGCAAGGAAGCAUCUUAGGACCAAUACUAUACAUACUAUACACGGCCAACAUACCAACAAUUACCAACAGCAAAAUACUGACAUUCGCGGACGACACAGCUGUACUAUUCAGGCACACUAAUCCAGAAACACCAGUCACAUUACUACAACAACAUAUCACACAAAUAUAAAAGUGACUGCAAGGUAAACAAAUAAAAGCAAACCUCAAUAAAUGCAACCAUAUUUACACUAUGAAAACAGAAACUAUCAAAUAUCUAAUUGGCACCACUUAACACAAACAAAGUACGUUAAAUACCUAAGACUCCAUUUAGACACACAACUUAUAUGGAAGCAAUAUACUAAAUCACUUAUAGACAAAAUACAGGUAAAAACAAGAUGGAUGUAUUGGCUAACUAGUCAAAACUAUAAACUCAGCAUGGAAAAUAAACUAAAUAUUUACAAAUCGAUAAUAAAACCAAUUUGUGCAUACGGAAUACCACUAUGGGGGACAGCAGCAAUGAGUCACAUAAAUAAAUUAGAGUCAUUACAACCGAAGAUACUCAAAACAAUAGACAACAUUCCAUGGUAUGUUAGAAACAAGGAUAUACGCAAAGAUCUAAAAAUAUCAAUGAUCAAAAAAGAAAUCGGUAGAUACGCAGAAAAAUACAAGGAAAGAAUGACAACACAUCCAAACCAGCUGGCUGCUGAAGCAAACAAAACUCAUAUAAAAAGAAGACUAAAAAGGAAACAUGCCAUUGACCUCACUGAAGAAAUAAAAUAGACAAACUCAAAGAUGAUAUUCUGCUGGAGGUAGUCAUCCACGUGUUAUUUAGUAAUAAAGUUAAAAAAAUUUACCAAAUGUCCAGCUGGAUAAAUUGUAAAGUACAAAUUAAAUAAAUAAAAAAAACGUGUUGCUUCAUUCAAGCAAACAUGAAAAUAACAUGGUGAUAAGCGUGGAUUGUAAGAUAAGUUUCCCCAUUAUUGCUACUGAACUUUGGGCAAUAGAAUUUGUCCACAAGGAUCAUACAACAACACGUAUCUCAAACUUGAACGCAUUUGUUAUUUAAUGCUUCGUGUCUAACGUAUAAUAUCAGAUAGAUCAAGUUAGCACGUACUACUACCAAUAACAAUAUUGCAUCUAUGCAAUCAUCUAGUAACAAUUAAAUGUCUUUGUUGGGUCUCACACACAUCAGGUAACGUAUAACAAAAUGUGUUAACGUUUGUCCUUUGUUUAGGCUGAAUCACUUACAAAUAAUUAUAUAAACUAUAUUUACCAUGGAAACGUCAAGCACGUGCACGAAUACCGAUGGCCAUCUUGCAACUACCGAUGACGUCACGCGCAGGCUUUCACCAGGCACCGCUGUGCUACCCAGUGUUACUAUGUAGAAGCCAAUAGUCUUUUUUAGAAAUUAAAGGAAGAAGUAAGUUAUUUAUUGACUGACCUACGUAUAAUAUCAACGACAUUAUUAACAGCGAUCGAAUAGGAAAAGUCAAAUUAUAAAGGAUCUUUAUCUUAAUCUCUGAAGUAAGGGUGUCAAACUUUUAAAAGUUCGCACGAUACAAGGAUUGGCGCACUAGCUCUCCAUUCUAUGUAGCUCUAUAUAAUUGUGUCGGGCGAAAGAUGAGCUACUCAAGAAGUUAUUGGAGUCGCUUUCGCAGGAGAAUCGGGCUGGAUCGAUGGAGCACGAUUAAGUAUCCUCGAGAGGAAAGUGUGUAAAGGAAUGAUUCCCCUUUGACCUACAUACACAUACGCGCUACUGGGAGGAGGAAUCCUGGACCGUUUCCGAUUGAGUUAACCUAUGCCAGCAGUUUUAAGCUCACCAGGGGAAACCAGCAUAGUUUUUACGAGCGUAGUUUAUGGAACCACGCCAGCUGGGCUUGCGAUAAACCCGUUGCAGUUACGAAACGUAUAUGCGCACAUGAAUUCCAGCUUGCCAGAAAGAUGGAGGUACGCACAAAUAUGAAUAAAACGUAUUUGUCUUUAUAGAAGGUAUUUCUGCAAUCGUAAUGCCACGAUAUGAUCAGGAUGAAGGUUAUUUGUCGUGAAAAAAUAGAUCAUAAGUGAAAAAUAAAAUUUUAGCGUAUAACGCUUUGUUUUGAGAAAAUGGUUUUAAAUAUUCAUUUGAUAUACUACCUGUGAAAGCCGAUUUAACAGACCUCUGUUUUUGUUCGUGUAUGCAUAACG
Bombus huntii is the source of this 3878-nucleotide long non-coding RNA. RefSeq lists it as uncharacterized. Lineage: Eukaryota; Metazoa; Arthropoda; Insecta; Hymenoptera; Apidae. The record is from RefSeq and is a predicted model, not a curated record. The transcript has 2 exons.